AUACUUACCUGUCAGGGCAGAUACCAGGAUCCUAGAGGUGAUUUCCUCAGGGCAAGUCUUAUCCAUUUCACUCCGGAUGUGCUAACCCUGUGAUUUCCCCAAGUAUGGGAAACUCCACUGCAUAAUUUGUGGUACUGGGGGACUGCAUUCAUGCUAUCCCCUG
RNAcentral lists this small nuclear RNA (163 nucleotides) under Sorex araneus (European shrew). Its description in RNAcentral is "U1 spliceosomal RNA (ENSSARG00000014863.1)". It matches the Rfam family "U1 spliceosomal RNA". From Rfam's summary of the family: U1 is a small nuclear RNA (snRNA) component of the spliceosome (involved in pre-mRNA splicing). Its 5' end forms complementary base pairs with the 5' splice junction, thus defining the 5' donor site of an intron. The record is from RNAcentral. Lineage: Eukaryota; Metazoa; Chordata; Mammalia; Eulipotyphla; Soricidae.